Molecule: long non-coding RNA, 777 nt
Organism: Eutrema salsugineum
Lineage: Eukaryota; Viridiplantae; Streptophyta; Magnoliopsida; Brassicales; Brassicaceae
Exons: 5
Source: RefSeq, a predicted model, not a curated record
UCUCCUUCUCCAAAUUAAAUCCUACUCUCUCUCACUGUAUCGAAUCCUGCUUCCUCCGCGGAUUCUUCAUCUUCUGCCGCCUCGAUUUUUCCCAUCUCAAGAUCUGCGUCUUCUUAAAUCCAUGCCUUUGAUUUCCUUUAGAACACAAUCAACAAUAAAAGCAGAGGUUUCAUCCGUUUCUAUGGUCUUAAGACCUAAAAGGACUUGUUUCGCCAAAACAGUUUUGGUGUUGAAGUGUUUGGGUGUUUUUAUAAAAAAGGACAAAUUACCAUCUUUCAUAGAUCGCUGAAACAACAUUGAGAGUUUUUACGAAACCCUUAUCCGAUUCCGUAGUUUUGUUCAGAGGUUUUGAGUGGAUUUUGCUGUUUUAUUGGUAUUACACUUUUUUCAUAGUUCGAUCUGCAAAUCUUUUUACAGUUUGAUAUUUUUGACUACUAAUAGAACCCUGUGAAAGGUGAACACUUUCUAGGGAACACAAUAUUUGAAGUAAAAGUGGAUACACCAAAGGAAGAGAUGAGAUAGCCUGUAAAAAAAGUGAUGAGGAUUUUUAUUGCUCUAAUCCCUCCAUCAGUCUCUGAAUUAGAUUUCAAAGAUUUAAUGGAGGAUCUGAUGGCACACUCAUGAUCUGGGAGGUACAACAGUUGCUGUUGAUUGGAAGUUGUGACUGCAUCCAAAUUUAUCUUCUAACUAGAUACUUGUGUAUAUUUGUGAUUUAGGUCUUUUGUAAUACUUUGACCUUUGUAAUACUUUGAAUAUCAAUAAAUGUCAUUUUUUUGC